AUUUGAGACGAAAUUCUUCUCUACUACAGUUUGCUGAACGAUACAUUCUUGUCCCAAAAUUAUUAAAUGUCGUAUCUAAACGAAUUGCGAUCGAUUUCUUUCGACCGCUAGCAUAUUGUAGACCAUUCCCAUCCCUAACUAACUGUCCAUCCCAAUGAACACUCAGACAUGCGACGAUUAGCUAUUUUAACUAAACAAAAAAAAAAUUCAAAAAUAAUAUAAAAUAUUUAGUCAAUAUAAUACAAAAAAGAAUAAUAAAGGGGGGAAAAGAGGGAUUACAUGGAGACUUUCCUACCCCACACACUAAUCUAACAAAGAGGGAGGGAGGGACUACCCAAAGUGCUCACGAACAAGCACCCAAGGUGCUCACAAAGGAGGAGGAACCACCCAAAGUGACCACCUCCAGCAGCAAAUAGAGAGGGUGGUGGCCCAUCCUCUAACUGUCACUCCCCCCUCCCAACUGCCACUUCUCCCACUCCCUGCACAAAUCCACUGCAGCUGCUGCAGCGCCUACACAACCACCCAAUCCUCGCCGCCAAUGUCGCUGCUGUGCCAAGCUCAACCACCUCACACUACCACACAUCUCCUUUCUCUUUGCCAGCCAAUCUGUAGUGUACCGAAUUUUAAUAUAGAAGUAAGAGUAAAUAAAAAUAGUGUAAAAUACUAUUUUUAUUGGACUUAAAGAAGUUUUCUAUGUGCAAAUGAGGUGCUUACUUGGGGGUU
This 723-nucleotide long non-coding RNA is filed under the name Ananas comosus (pineapple). RNAcentral's name for it is "long non-coding RNA (ACOM_LNC019687)". Lineage: Eukaryota; Viridiplantae; Streptophyta; Magnoliopsida; Poales; Bromeliaceae. The record is from RNAcentral.